This 543-nucleotide unclassified non-coding RNA is filed under the name Dermacentor andersoni. RNAcentral's name for it is "uncharacterized LOC126535562". The record is from RNAcentral. Lineage: Eukaryota; Metazoa; Arthropoda; Arachnida; Ixodida; Ixodidae.
UCGUUCCUUCCCACAGAUGAAAAAAUAUAACUGUAAAUACCUGUAUGAUAUACGUCUGGUGCAUUGCAGGUAAGAAUGGAUUGUGUGUGGCGCGCUUCACCGCAUGUGGACUAGAGUAGAUCUAGGAACAUCAGACAAGAAGACACGUAUGUGAAACCCUGCGGAUAGCCCAUAUGUGAACUUUUUUUCCAGAUACGGAGGAACGGACACCGGUCGUGCCGUGAGCACUAUUCUGCAGGGCAUACUUCCAAAUGAAGCUGCACUGCAGUUCAGCUGGAAAGGGUCGCAGGGGAGGAAGCACGCCUUCGUGAAGCUCAUGGCCAUCACGAAUAUAACAUCUGUGAGGAGCACGUUCCCUGACGCUUCACUAGCAUCAGUGGCUGGAGUCGCAAAACGCUGGUUGGUUGGAGCAGCUGACAGGGAUGGAGGCCGGAAUGAAAGAAGGCGCCGUGACCCUGCUUCAAGCCCACCAAAUAUGAACUAGUGUUUGAAACUUGUGAACGUGUCGGUGUACAUAUACAAUUACAAGAAAUAAAGACCUGU